AGCCAAUAGUCAGCUCCCAGUGGUCCUUGCCCCAGAGCAUGUGGUAAGAGGUGGAUUGAGGCCUUCACUCCGGGCCCUGCAGGCCUCUGGCCCAGGCUGGCGGGUGAGCUGAGGGCCCCAGAAGAGACUGAGGGCUGUGUCUCUAGAGCUCCAGAGCCCUCUCCACGGCCACCCCUGGCCGGGCCCAUGCCUUGAAGCAGCAGCAAACCUCUCCCCAGGCCCUCACUACGUGACCCAUGGAGCGCCCAGCAACUGGAGUGUGUACAGACAUGGCCAUUAAGACGAUGCUGUCAGCUGGAAGGAAAAAGUCCCACAGGGCGCAUCACGGGAAUGUCUCUCCACCCAGGGUUCGCAUAGCUUUGUCAUCAUAUCUGAUCUCUGCUGCUGCAGAUAACAGGCCAACAGAACUGAACGUGCAGACUUGGGAAGGCUUUCAGUUGAAUUUUUGAGUAAAAGAUUCCACCAGAGGUCUAUUGAAAAUGUGUUCCAGCAGAUUCAAGAGUGAAGGCUACCUGAACAACAGGCUCAACUUGGUUCCAAUGCUCCAUCAUCAAGGUGGGGAAGGGACACCUGCAGAUUUGCCAGGGCCUUUGUUAGUAAAGGGACUUCCAAGGUGGUUCUAGUGGUAAACUGACUGCCAUUGCAGGAGAUACAAGAGGCGGUUCAAUCCCUGGGUUGGGAAAAUCCCCUGCAGGAGAGCAUGGCAACCCACUCCUGAGACAGACUUUCAAUACUGAGUUUCCAUGGAAGGGCUUGGAAAUUGGGAAAGGAGGGGAGAACUGAAGUAACAGAAUACUGGCAUUCAGCAUUACGCUAACUAGAACUGAAGUAAAACAAAAUCCAGACCUCAAAGAGACAAUACGAAACUCACUAUAAGAAAUGGACAAAAUGCAAACAUCUCCAGUGUAAAACAAUGGCACAGAAACAUUGUCCUGAUUGAUCGAGCUUUCCAAUCCUUUCUAGUUUUCAUAAUUAUCCCAGUUCUUGCCGGAGCAUUAAAUGCACUCAUUAACUUUCUCUCUGAUAGGCCACACAAAAUUAAGUCUUAGUGGUCAGGUUUGUUUUUGUGCCCUUCAUAUUCCCCAAAAGUUUGUUUUAAAAACUAAAGCUCUAUUAAUCCAGGCUAGUAGUCACUAGAAUUCUAUUCUACUUUGGACUUUCCCAAUGAUUUAUUAUUGUACCCAAGUGAAGUGAAUAUAUUUUUUUUUAAUUUACUAUAUAUUUAUUUUA
Molecule: long non-coding RNA, 1230 nt
Organism: Bubalus bubalis (water buffalo)
Lineage: Eukaryota; Metazoa; Chordata; Mammalia; Artiodactyla; Bovidae
Exons: 3
Source: RefSeq, a predicted model, not a curated record